CGCUAGCUACAGGCUUAACACAUGCAAGUCGAGGCUCAUCGGGAAGAAAGCUUGCUUUCUUUGCCGGCGACCGGCGCACGGGUGAGUAACACGUAUCCAACCUGCCCUUUACUCGGGGAUAGCCUUUCGAAAGAAAGAUUAAUACCCGAUAGCAUAAUGAUUCCGCAUGGUUUCAUUAUUAAAGGAUUCCGGUAAAGGAUGGGGAUGCGUUCCAUUAGGUUGUUGGUGAGGUAACGGCCCACCAAGCCUUCGAUGGAUAGGGGUUCUGAGAGGAAGGUCCCCCACAUUGGAACUGAGACACGGUCCAAACUCCUACGGGAGGCAGCAGUGAGGAAUAUUGGUCAAUAGGCGCUAGCCUGAACCAGCCAAGUAGCGUGAAGGAUGAAGGCUCUAUGGGUCGUAAACUUCUUUUAUAUAAGAAUAAAGUGCAGUAUGUAUACUGUUUUGUAUGUAUUAUAUGAAUAAGGAUCGGCUAACUCCGUGCCAGCAGCCGCGGUAAUACGGAGGAUCCGAGCGUUAUCCGGAUUUAUUGGGUUUAAAGGGAGCGUAGGUGGACUGGUAAGUCAGUUGUGAAAGUUUGCGGCUCAACCGUAAAAUUGCAGUUGAUACUGUCAGUCUUGAGUACAGUAGAGGUGGGCGGAAUUCGUGGUGUAGCGGUGAAAUGCUUAGAUAUCACGAAGAACUCCGAUUGCGAAGGCAGCUCAUUGGACUGCAACUGACACUGAUGCUCGAAAGUGUGGGUAUCAAACAGGAUUAGAUACCCUGGUAGUCCACACAGUAAACGAUGAAUACUCGCUGUUUGCGAUAUACAGUAAGCGGCCAAGCGAAAGCAUUAAGUAUUCCACCUGGGGAGUACGCCGGCAACGGUGAAACUCAAAGGAAUUGACGGGGGCCCGCACAAGCGGAGGAACAUGUGGUUUAAUUCGAUGAUACGCGAGGAACCUUACCCGGGCUUAAAUUGCAGUGGAAUGAUGUGGAAACAUGUCAGUGAGCAAUCACCGCUGUGAAGGUGCUGCAUGGUUGUCGUCAGCUCGUGCCGUGAGGUGUCGGCUUAAGUGCCAUAACGAGCGCAACCCUUAUCUUCAGUUACUAACAGGUCAUGCUGAGGACUCUGGAGAGACUGCCGUCGUAAGAUGUGAGGAGGGUGGGGAUGACGUCAAAUCAGCACGGCCCUUACGUCCGGGGCUACACACGUGUUACAAUGGGGGGUACAGAAGGCAGCUAGCGGGUGACCGUAUGCUAAUCCCAAAAUCCUCUCUCAGUUCGGAUCGAAGUCUGCAACCCGACUUCGUGAAGCUGGAUUCGCUAGUAAUCGCGCAUCAGCCACGGCGCGGUGAAUACGUUCCCGGGCCUUGUACACACCGCCCGUCAAGCCAUGGGAGCCGGGGGUACCUGAAAUACGUAACCGCAAGGA
This 1414-nucleotide ribosomal RNA is filed under the name uncultured organism. RNAcentral's name for it is "16S ribosomal RNA". It matches the Rfam family "Bacterial small subunit ribosomal RNA". The record is from RNAcentral.